Molecule: long non-coding RNA, 564 nt
Filed under: Carica papaya (papaya)
Lineage: Eukaryota; Viridiplantae; Streptophyta; Magnoliopsida; Brassicales; Caricaceae
Description: long non-coding RNA (CPAP_LNC009416)
Source: RNAcentral
AACCAUCUAGUUUUCAGCGUCGAAUCAAGUAAGGACUCCUCACUCUAUUUAUUAUCAUGGAAUUAAAGUUCAAAUAAAUAAUAAUACGGUCCUUUGUACAAAUUAAAUAGAUGUGCUUGAUUAAUUAUGGAUUGUUAAUGGAGCCCAAAUCGGACAUCGUUUUCUGUCGAUUACUGUUGAUUUAUUGUACAGUUUAAAAGCAUGAUGAUAUCUGGUUUAUAUAUUGUAUGGUUUAAAUGCAUGUAUUACUGUCUUACUUGACUACUGUUUGAUUUUGGGAAUCUAAGAUAUGAUUGCAUUGUUGGAUGCAUGUUACUUAUUUAUGUAUUUAUGUUUGAUUUGGUGACGGAGACUAAGGACAAAUAGGAAUGAGAUGUGAUCUGAUAAAUGGAUAAGAUGACAGCCUCACUAGAUAUAUUGGGAGAUGGUGGACGGACCAGGUUCAUAGGAAACCCUACCGUGAAUGUUGUCUCAUACCGGACGGGGUAUGAAGACUUGGUCAUUUGGCGCUCAUACCGAACGAGGUAUGGGGACGAUCCGCUUCACCCUCAUACUGGAUGGGAU